This 73-nucleotide transfer RNA is filed under the name Boana lemai (Lema treefrog). Its description in RNAcentral is "Hypsiboas lemai (Lema treefrog) tRNA-Leu". It matches the Rfam family "tRNA". From Rfam's summary of the family: Transfer RNA (tRNA) molecules are approximately 80 nucleotides in length. Lineage: Eukaryota; Metazoa; Chordata; Amphibia; Anura; Hylidae. The record is from RNAcentral.
GUUAACGUAGCACAAUCUGGCCCUGCAAGAGACCUAAGCCCUUUUAAUAGAGGUUCAAAUCCUCUCGUUAACU